Molecule: ribosomal RNA, 700 nt
Filed under: uncultured beta proteobacterium
Lineage: Bacteria; Pseudomonadati; Pseudomonadota; Betaproteobacteria
Description: bacterial SSU rRNA
Rfam family: Bacterial small subunit ribosomal RNA
Source: RNAcentral
CUGGCGGCGAGUGGCGAACGGGUGAGUAAUGUAUCGGAACGUGCCUAGUAGCGGGGGAUAACUACUCGAAAGAGUAGCUAAUACCGCAUACGCCCUACGGGGGAAAGGGGGGGAUCGCAAGACCUCUCACUAUUAGAGCGGCCGAUAUCGGAUUAGCUAGUUGGUGAGGUAAAGGCUCACCAAGGCGACGAUCCGUAGCUGGUUUGAGAGGACGACCAGCCACACUGGGACUGAGACACGGCCCAGACUCCUACGGGAGGCAGCAGUGGGGAAUUUUGGACAAUGGGGGAAACCCUGAUCCAGCCAUUCCGCGUGUGCGAUGAAGGCCUUCGGGUUGUAAAGCACUUUUGGCAGGAAAGAAAUCGCACCAAUUAAUACUUGGUGUGGAUGACGGUACCUGCAGAAUAAGCACCGGCUAACUACGUGCCAGCAGCCGCGGUAAUACGUAGGGUGCAAGCGUUAAUCGGAAUUACUGGGCGUAAAGCGUGCGCAGGCGGUUCGGAAAGAGAGGUGUGAAAUCCCAGGGCUCAACCUUGGAACUGCACUUUUAACUACCGAGCUAGAGUAUGUCAGAGGGGGGCGGAAUUCCGCGUGUAGCAGUGAAAUGCGUAGAUAUGCGGAGGAACGCCGAUGGCGAAGGCAGCCCCCUGGGAUAAUACUGACGCUCAUGCACGAAAGCGUGGGGAGCAAACAGGAUUAG